UACGUAGGGUGCGAGCGUUGUCCGGAAUUACUGGGCGUAAAGGGCUCGUAGGCGGCCAACUAAGUCGGACGUGAAAUCCCUCAGCUUAACUUGGGAACUGCAUCCGAUACUGGAUGGCUUGAAUCCGGGAGAGGGAUGCAGAAUUCCAGGUGUAGCGGUGAAAUGCGUAGAUAUCUGGAGGAAUACCGGUGGCGAAGGCGGCAUCCUGGACCGGCAUUGACGCUGAGGAGCGAAAGCUAGGGGAGCAAACGGG
This 253-nucleotide ribosomal RNA is filed under the name uncultured bacterium. Its description in RNAcentral is "partial 16S ribosomal RNA". It matches the Rfam family "Bacterial small subunit ribosomal RNA", at positions 524 to 776 of the family's 1533-position model. The record is from RNAcentral.